AAGAUUUUUGUUUUGAGACAAGGUGUCCCGAGCUGCUCAAGGCCUCGCUGUGUUGCUGAGGCUGGCUCUGAACUCACGAUCCUCCUGCCUCAGCCUCCGGAGUCGCUGGGAGACCCUGACUCUAUAUAAAACAAUAAGAGAGGGGCUGGGGAUGUGGCUCAGGGCUAGAGCUCCCAGGUUCAGUCCCCAGUGUACAUGGGAGGGUUAUUGCUUUAUAUUUUUUUAUUGUCAUUGUCGUGGUGUUGGGGUUGCCGGGCACCAGCUUUACCACUGAGCCCCAUCCCCAGGCCCUAAAAUAUUCGUCUUGGUUUUUUGCUGCCUUCUCUGUGCCUCUUCCUCCUUACUCUGUCCCUGAGUCUCGUGUAGAGGGUGCUGGGUCCCUGGGUGUCCCCUUCCUGCACACGUGUGCACCUGGAGGGGCCCCACCAACUCUGCACCUUGGGGAGUGUGUGGCUCCAUCUCUGACCAGGUCUUGGACCUGCUGGGGAACCAGCACCAUCUGCAGCUCCAGGAGCCCAACAUUCUUUGGGUCGGGCUUGGGGCACGCAGGUGGGGACAUGUACAGCUGGGGACGUAAGUGUGGGCAUGAGAGUGGAUGACGGAACAAACAGCUUCCUGUGUGUGCAGGGGCCCCAAAUAAGCAAGCCAGUUUCUCUCUCUCUUUCUGUACCGGGAAUUGAACCCAGGGGCACUUGACCACUGAGCCACAUCCCAGCCCUAUUUUAUUUAGAGGCAGGACCUCACUUUGGCUGAGGUUGGCUUUGAGCUCACCAUCCUCCUGCCUCAGCCUCCUGAGUGCUGGGAUGGCAGGUGCGCACUACAGCGCCAGGCUUUUAUUUUUUAUUUAGAGACAGGGCCUCACUAAAUUGCUGAGGCUGGCCUCAAACUGACUUUCCUCCUGCCUCAGCCUCCUGAGCUGCUGGAUCACAGGCGGUGCCACCACACAUAGCCACUCCCUGUUCCCUGUGCAUGAGGAGCCUCUGGUGGGUCCUCGGCUGGGUGCACACAGUGUGGGGUGUCCUCUGGGACCCCCGUUCCCUGCUGACUUCUGCUCUGUCCCCAGGUGAGCUGCUGCAGUGGCUGGCGGGAAGACACCUCCUUCACGGGCUGCUGCUGGACGGGGACACUGCGCUAGUGCCCGGCCCCGGGGCCCUGCUCCCGGCUUCUCACCGCCGCCGACGGGAAGUGGCCACCAACCCCGCAAGGCGCUGCUGCCGCAGUGGCUGCACCCAACAGGACCUGAGGGCUCUCUGUCCCCACUGAGCCCUCCCUGGGGGUGGUCCCAGGGACAGGCCCAGAGGCACAGAGCACCGUGAUGACCGGGGGCGGGGCAUGGGGGUUGCCUGGGACAGGCGCUCACCACCUCUGCAGGCCACUGUGAGCUGUCCUGUGAAGCCACCUGGGGACACAUCGCAGCCUGGACUUGAGGAUCCCCCGGUUCAUGGAGCUGACACACGGGGGGGCGGGGCAAAUGUCCUCUUUGAGAGGGGUCCCAGACGCUGCCCUCCUUGUCCCCGAUGGGAAAUAAACAAUCC
Molecule: long non-coding RNA, 1535 nt
Filed under: Marmota monax (woodchuck)
Lineage: Eukaryota; Metazoa; Chordata; Mammalia; Rodentia; Sciuridae
Source: RNAcentral